RNAcentral lists this ribosomal RNA (253 nucleotides) under uncultured bacterium. Its description in RNAcentral is "partial 16S ribosomal RNA". It matches the Rfam family "Bacterial small subunit ribosomal RNA", at positions 524 to 776 of the family's 1533-position model. The record is from RNAcentral.
UACUGAGGAGGCAAGCGUUAUCCGGAAUUAUUGGGCGUAAAGCGUCCGCAGGUGGCACCUCAAGUCUGCUGUCAAAGACCGGGGCUUAACCCCAGAAAGGCAGUGGAAACUGAAGUGCUAGAGUGCAGUAGGGGUAGAGGGAAUUCCCGGUGUAGCGGUGAAAUGCGUAGAGAUCGGGAAGAACAUCGGUGGCGAAAGCGCUCUGCUGGACUGCAACUGACACUCAGGGACGAAAGCUAGGGGAGCGAAUGGG